GACGAACGCUGGCGGCGUGCUUAACACAUGCAAGUCGAGCGGUAAGGCCCUUUCGGGGGUACGACGAGCGGCGAACGGGUGAGUAACACGUGGGUGACCUGCCCUCAGCUCUGGGAUAAGCCUGGGAAACGUGGGUCUAAUACCGGAUAUGACUCCAUGACGCAUGUUGUGGGGUGGAAAGCCUUGUGCGGCUGAGGAUGGGCCCGCGGCCUAUCAGCUUGUUGGGUGGGGNGAUGGCCUACCAAGGCGACGACGGGUAGCCGGCCUGAGAGGGCGACCGGCCACACUGGGACUGAGACACGGCCCAGACUCCUACGGGAGGCAGCAGUGGGGAAUCUUGCGCAAUGGGCGAAAGCCUGACGCAGCGACGCCGCGU
This 376-nucleotide ribosomal RNA is filed under the name uncultured bacterium. RNAcentral's name for it is "bacterial SSU rRNA". It matches the Rfam family "Bacterial small subunit ribosomal RNA", at positions 28 to 402 of the family's 1533-position model. The record is from RNAcentral.